UACGUAGGGGGCAAGCGUUGUCCGGAAUCAUUGGGCGUAAAGCGCUUGUAGGCGGCUGACUAAGUCCGCUCUGAAAGCCCGGGGCUCAACCCCGGGAGGCGGGUGGAUACUGGUCAGCUCGAGUCCGGAAGAGGAGUGUGGAAUUCCUGGUGUAGCGGUGAAAUGCGCAGAUAUCAGGAGGAACACCAAUGGCGAAGGCAGCACUCUGGGACGGUACUGACGCUGAGACGCGAAAGCUGGGGGAGCGAACGGG
Molecule: ribosomal RNA, 253 nt
Filed under: uncultured bacterium
Lineage: Bacteria
Description: partial 16S ribosomal RNA
Rfam family: Bacterial small subunit ribosomal RNA
Source: RNAcentral